RNAcentral lists this Y RNA (97 nucleotides) under Prolemur simus (greater bamboo lemur). Its description in RNAcentral is "Y RNA (ENSPSMG00000018372.1)". It matches the Rfam family "Y RNA". From Rfam's summary of the family: Y RNAs are components of the Ro ribonucleoprotein particle (Ro RNP), in association with Ro60 and La proteins. Lineage: Eukaryota; Metazoa; Chordata; Mammalia; Primates; Lemuridae. The record is from Rfam by way of RNAcentral.
GGCUGGGUCCGAUGGUAGUGGGUUAUCAGAAUUGAUUAGUAUUAGUGUCACUAAAGUUGGUAUACAACCUCCCACUGCUAAAUUUGACUGGCUUAAA